CGUGCCCCAGCAUAUAGCUAUUUUUUGUAACAGCUUUAUUGAGAUGUAAUUUAUGUAUCAUACAGUUCACAGAUUUAAAUACUAUUCAACGGUUUUUCAUUUAUUCAGCUUUGUGAGCCAUCCCCACAGUCACGUUUAGAUCCUUUUCAUCUCCCCAAAAGGAAAUCCUGCACCCGUUGGCAUCACUUCCCCUUCCUCCCCUCCCCCAGCCCCAUCAUCUAUUUUCUUUUUAUAUGUCUGUUUUAUGUUUUUCUUCCUCCUCUUGCUCCUCCUUUUUCUUCUUUGUUGUUGAUACACAAAAAACUGCACCCAUCUCCUAUAUACGAUUUGAUGCAUUUAGACUUAUGCAUAUACCUGUGAAAACGUCACCACAAUCAAGGUAACAAACACAGCCAUUACCUCCAAAAGCUUCUUCAUGCCCCUUUGUUUUUGGUUUUGUUUUAUUUUCCUCCUUUUCCUGGCUUUGUCCUUAUGAGGCUAAAGUGUGAUUCUGGUACAUGUCCCCUCGCCUGAGGAGUAACCAGGGGCAGCUGUUUAUAGGUGGAGCUGUUUAUAGGCCAGAGCCUGAAGGCAUUGCUGGCACUGGCAUGCUCAUUCACAUGACGCUCCUCACUCUGCAAGACAAGCCAGGAGUGUGAACAGAAAGAGGCUGGCUGUGAGCCAGAGGCGGUUCGUGGGGUUUCCUGGGUCCUGCAGAUGUUAGGGGUGGGUGUGGUUCUGCCCUCUUGGCUUGACUUCUGGCUCUUGGACUGCUUUUCCCUGACUCUACUGACUUGGCUCCCUCGCUUAUCUUCCUAAAAAAAGGAUUCCUCCGGAGCCAGCUUUUCACAUCCACAAUUUCCUUCCUCUGUCCCCCUCUCUUGGGGCACUCACUGAGUAGUGAGGCAGGUCUCCAUCCACACAUCUCCUUCCUCCUUCAGAUGGGAGCUCCUGGUUGGGGGGCACUGCUAAGUCCCCUAGCACAGAGCUAGCACCCAAUGGGUAUGUGGUCAAUAUUUAUUGAAUGACAAAGGGAAUGGUUAAAUGCAUUUCACUUAUUUGCACCCAUGAUCUGAAUUCACCCUGCUAAACUUGCAUUUCCCCAGCAGAUGUGAAGAAAAGACUAAGAGCGGGAGUUCUGUAGUCAGACUGCAGCUGUAAACCCAGCUUACCAUUUAUAAGCUGAGUGUUCUCUAGGGCAGGUCAUUCAACUGCUCUGUGCCUCAGUUUGUUCUUCCACAAAAUGGGGACAAUACUGGCACCUACUCAAUAAGGAUGCCAUGAGACAUAGAAGAUCCAUGGGCCUCUGUUCCCCUGCCUCUGUGCGUUUGCUUGUCCUACCUGGAAUUCCUCUGGCACUAUCUUUGCUUAGUGAAGCCUACCUGUUCUUAAAGGCCCAAGUUAAAUGCGCCACGUCCUUGAAGCCUUCCCAGAUUGCCACAGCCUUAUGCCUCCUCCCCAGUUAAAUAAACACGGUAUGCUUCCUGAAGGCGGCUACAACCCACACUGCUCCAGGCUGUGGUGAUGCCUGUCCACACCUCACUAUCCCCACAGAGACUGAGCUUCUUGAGGGCAGGGGCUCAAGAGUUGGUGCUCAACAGAUGCGUAUUGAAUGAAUGAAUGGUUCCAGGAUAUUCCAGAUAUUCGGGUGAUGUUCUGACAAACCUACGAGACUGUCUUUUAGAUACUCUUGAACUGAGGCCUCUAAGAUAGUAAACACACCACUCCAACUAAUUCUUUGGAUUUAAAGGGACUUUGGCUUACUGAAGAGCUUAUUUUGACUUGUUGAGAGUUAAUUAUCAGCAAGGAGCUAACCUGGGAGAGAAGAAGGAAGGACAAGAGGUCUCUCCCUCUGUCUACGCUAUUAAUAUAGAAAGAGUAUUACAUGGUGUGAAGAUUACAUGACACAACAUUUUAAAAGGCCUAGCGGAGCACUUAGCCUGAAGUUGUCCCUCAAGAAAUGGUAGACUCAUUGAUUUCUUUUCGUGGUUGUUAUUGUUAGGAAAAACUGAGCUUGCAAGGAUGGAGGGCUGAUUCAUUCGUAGUUGGGCCUGGGAGCCUGCAAAUGACACUUCCUGAACUCCAGUUAAGUUCAGCCAAUGGGAUAAAGUGGUGAGAGAUGGGAAGGCAUGAGGAAGGGAAUAGCAGCUUUCUCUGCUUCUGGAGGUGACUUCCGCAGUGGCAGCAGCCAUGGCGGCCCUAGGGUAGGCGUUCCAGCAGCAUCCCUGGGAGGGCAGGCUCCUUGGUUGUGGCUCAGUGGCAGCGUCCUGUCUCGGCAGCGGCAGUGGCAGCAGGCCUGUUUCGGCAGUGGCAGUGCUUCCAGCUGCUAACCAGCAAGUGUGUGCUUCUGGUUCCAGCCCACGGGCAGUAGCAGCUCCCUCAACUCAGAGCAUCGCCUUCUCCCUUUGCUCAUUCAUUUUUCCAAGACAUUUGUAACCAACUCCCUAAAUUAAACGGUCUUCUCCUUGAGGUGCCUAGACUGCCUUCUAUUUUCCUGAUUGGGCUCCAAUUGAUAUAGAGGGCAAUAAAUGGGGUAAUUAAUGUGAAACUUAUUUGCUUCUUCUUAUUGCAAGGGCCAGAGCAGAAAGGAAACUCCAAACCCAAACUCUCAGUGAUUCCCCCUUAGUGGAAAUCUGAUAUCAUCCCACCCAUCAGCUUGACUGCUUUAGGCCAGGCCACCUGUCACCCCAACUAGAGUUCAUGGGCAUCUUCAGAGACCAGGAUACACAAAAAAAAACCCACCCAAUGCUCUCCUCCACUCUCCACCUCCCUCCUCACCCACAAUCCUGUCUUAUUCUCUUGGCUACUAGGAAGUGCUUUUUGAUAAUCCGACUCAAUUCACUUUCUAUACUUCCCA
This 2836-nucleotide long non-coding RNA is filed under the name Homo sapiens (human). RNAcentral describes it as "HSALNT0106149". The record is from RNAcentral. Lineage: Eukaryota; Metazoa; Chordata; Mammalia; Primates; Hominidae.